UGGGGAAUCUUGGACAAUGGGGGCAACCCUGAUCCAGCCAUGCCGCGUGAGCGAUGAAGGCCUUAGGGUUGUAAAGCUCUUUCACCGGUGAAGAUAAUGACGGUAGCCGGAGAAGAAGCCCCGGCUAACUCCGUGCCAGCAGCCGCGGUAAUACGGAGGGGGUUAGCGUUGUUCGGAAUUACUGGGCGUAAAGCGCACGUAGGCGGACCAGAAAGUUGGGGGUGAAAUCCCGGGGGCUCAACCCCGGAACUGCCUCCAAAACUAUUGGUCUAGAGUUCGAGAGAGGUGAGUGGAAUUCCAAGUGUAGAGGUGAAAUUCGUAGAUAUUUGGAGGAACACCAGUGGCGAAGGCGGCUCACUGGCUCGAUACUGACGCUGAGGUGCGAAAGUGUGGGGAGCAAACAGGAUUAGAUACCCUGGUAGUCCACACCGUAAAACGAUGAAUGCCAGUCGUCGGGUAGCAUGCUAUUCGGUGACACACCUAACGGAUUAAGCAUU
Molecule: ribosomal RNA, 497 nt
Filed under: uncultured bacterium
Lineage: Bacteria
Description: bacterial SSU rRNA
Rfam family: Bacterial small subunit ribosomal RNA
Source: RNAcentral